RNAcentral lists this long non-coding RNA (2076 nucleotides) under Nicotiana tabacum (common tobacco). Its description in RNAcentral is "long non-coding RNA (NTAB_LNC000286)". The record is from RNAcentral. Lineage: Eukaryota; Viridiplantae; Streptophyta; Magnoliopsida; Solanales; Solanaceae.
AAGAGAGAAGUAUUAGAGUUGUGAGAGUAAUCCACAAACUGUUUUAUAGUCUGUGAGAAAAUAGAGUGGGAGUAAUAUUGUGGUGAGAUAUUUAAGACAAAGAGUGUUAUUUCUUUUGAGUCAUAAUAGUCUUUUGACACUACAAAGUUAUAAUAUUAUAGUGAUAUUAUAUUGCUCCUCUCAGGUAUUGUAUUUUACCCCGUUAAAAGAUUUGGUAUCAUUGUUACUCUCUUGUUUCAUUAUUAUUUAUCGUGGAUAUUAUUUCUAGGCGGGAUAUUAUUUUUCCCCAACAAAGGAUUGUUCAUUUGGCAGAGGGAUUGCCCGGGUGCUGUCAUAGACUUUAGGAAUAUUUUAGAUAGUGACACACUUGGUAUCGAAGCCUAGGUAUAAAUUCCUAUGAGUAUCAAUACAGACUUGUUUAUGAGAAUGUACAUGUCCUCACUUCUAAGCGAUAGGCUAUUGAGGCUUUUAGAAAAAUUUCCAUUGUUUCAUUCUUUUAUAGUAUGAUAGGCUCAAGCAAGUAAUUUAACUCGUCCUGUAUUAUAUCCCACAUUUGGUGAGAAAUCGAUCCGCUACUCAAAUUGAACUAAACAUUUCACCUGAGAUGCAGGAAGCACCGAGUAGGAAGGGCAAGCGCAGGAGAUAGACCAUGACAUAGAUAGCUGCACAACGUAGGGCUAGAGCCACCACUGCUACCAGGUUCAUAGUCAAGCUACUAGACCUGCUUCAGUUUCUCAACAUGAAAUUAUAUAGAUUUAUCAAGUCCCACAAUACGUUCGAGACGAUUUCAUAGCUUCCAGUAAUAUAGGACACUCUAGUUCAUUAUUUGAGUGUCCUGGAGACCCUUACUCCUCGACCAGAUGGUGUGUUGUUACUCCAAAAGCUUCUCAUACCCUAGUUGGGCAAGUGGAAAGUUUUGGACCAUGCAUACCCUGGUGCAGUAAGAUUCACACAUUUAUCAGACUCUCGUUCUAUAAGCAGUAGUGGGUACACUAUGAGGUUUUCAACUUGUUUCCCCGAAUGCAAAGAAUACUUCUAGGCUAUAAGCUUUCCUGAAGCUGAAGCCCCCAAAUGUUGUGAGCUUUGAUACAUCUUAUAACGACCCGAUCGGUCAUUUUAUGUAAUUGCACCGCAUUACCCCUUUUAUUGCUUCACCCUUGUGUGUUAAUGUCUUUAUGACUUGCGGGGUUGAUUAGUUUUAUUCCGGAAAGCUUUCGGGUUGAUUUGGACCCUUGAUUCUAGACUUAGAAGCUUUAAUAUAAAAAUGUUGACCAAACUUUGACUUUUGUGCAAACGAUCAUGGAACUGUAUUUUUAUGACUCUGAUAGCUAUGUAUCGUGAUUUCAAACUUGCACGUAUGCCCGAAACUGAUUUUGGAAGUCCAUAGGUUGAUUUGUGUUGAUUUACCGAAAUUUGGCAAUUUUUAAGUUGAAAAGUUUGACCGUAGGUUGAAUUUUAGCUAUUGAGCUCGGAAUUUAAUUUUAGGACUUGGAAUAGGUCCGUUAUGACAUUUAAAACUUGUCUGCAAAAUUUGGCGUCGUUCGGAGUUGAUUUGAUAGAAUUCGGAUGCUUAGUUGAAAUUUAGAAGUUCUUGAAUAUCUCUUUGAAAAUCAUGCAUUUUUGAGUUCAAUUCGUAGUUUUAGAUGUUAUUUUGGUGUUUUGAUUGCGCGAUUGAGUUUGUAUGAUAUUUUUAUACUUGUGUGAAUAUUUGGUUUGGAGCCUCGCGGGCUCGGGUGAGUUUCGGACGCUUAGCAGAGUGUUGUUGGAAUUUAAAGUUGCUGGUUUUCUGCACAGGCUACAGAUCUCGCAUUUGCAAGGUGUGAGUUUGCAUUUGCAAAGGUAGGCCAAGUCUCCUGGGUUCGCAUUUGCGAAAGUUUCUGGGAUGGGCUAGGUUCGCAAUUGCGAUGAUUUUGUCGCAAUUACGAGGGCAAUAGUGGUCACAAAUGUGAUCUAAUAUUCACAUUUGCGAAGAGUUUCCCUAAGCUUCAGUUCCGCAAUUGCGAGGCUUUAUUCGCAAUUGCGAACCCAUGUCGCAAUUGAGACAUCUGCAACUGAUCAAAUAGGUGAGGGACGGGA